Non-coding RNA from Brassica napus (rape), 125 nucleotides. NCBI's taxonomy places the organism in Eukaryota, Viridiplantae, Streptophyta, Magnoliopsida, Brassicales, Brassicaceae. The record is from Rfam.
GAAAUAAAAGAACCCGUCUCUUAACUUUUAACUAAAAAAAUUAAGCACCGGUUCUUAAAUAAGAGUUUUAAGAGCCGGUUCUUAGCUUUUUUAGUUAAAAAUUAAGAGACGGGUUCUUAUAUUUC